GACGAACGCUGGCGGCGUGCUUAACACAUGCAAGUCGAACGGAAAGGCCUGCUUUCCCUUGUGGAUUGCGGGUACUCGAGUGGCGAACGGGUGAGUAACACGUGAGUGAUCUGCCCCCAACUUGGGUAUAAGCCUGGGAAACUGGGUCUAAUUCCCGAUAGGACUGCAGGGUGGUGCCUGUGGUGGAAAACGAUUUUCUAGUGGUUGGGGAUGAGCUCGCGGCCUAUCAGCUUGUUGGUGGGGUAAUGGCCUACCAAGGCGGCGACGGGUAGCCGGCCUGAGAGGGUGGACGGCCACAUUGGGACUGAGAUACGGCCCAGACUCCUACGGGAGGCAGCAGUGGGGAAUAUUGCACAAUGGGCGGGAGCCUGAUGCAGCGACGCCGAGUGGGGGAUGACGGCCUUCGGGUUGUAAACUCCUUUCGACCGCGAGGAAGCCACCUGGUUGGAAGGGUGGUGACGGUAGUGGUAGAAGAAGCACCGGCUAACUACGUG
This 494-nucleotide ribosomal RNA is filed under the name uncultured bacterium. Its description in RNAcentral is "partial 16S ribosomal RNA". It matches the Rfam family "Bacterial small subunit ribosomal RNA", at positions 28 to 507 of the family's 1533-position model. The record is from RNAcentral.